RNAcentral lists this long non-coding RNA (220 nucleotides) under Chlamydomonas reinhardtii. RNAcentral describes it as "long non-coding RNA (CREI_LNC001490)". Lineage: Eukaryota; Viridiplantae; Chlorophyta; Chlorophyceae; Chlamydomonadales; Chlamydomonadaceae. The record is from RNAcentral.
GACGUGCACACGACUUACACUGAAUGCUCUCAUAAUUGGCACAACGGCACUAGCUACUGUCAUGCUUGCCUUCCUGCUCUUGAAACACCUACGUGCUGCUGGCAGGAAAACACACACGACGACAGUGGCAACAGAGCUGUAUGCCAAUGGGGCUGCGCUGACCACUCUACUUAUUGGACCGCUCUGCAUCAGCCUCGCUAUGACUCCAUUCUGCUUCCUU